This 320-nucleotide ribosomal RNA is filed under the name uncultured Cercomonas. RNAcentral's name for it is "SSU rRNA". The stretch from base 107 to 320 matches the Rfam family "Eukaryotic small subunit ribosomal RNA", at positions 740 to 955 of the family's 1831-position model. Lineage: Eukaryota; Cercozoa; Cercomonadida; Cercomonadidae. RNAcentral also lists the same sequence under 1 other name. The record is from RNAcentral.
GAUUUCUGGCUUGGCGCGCGCGGUCCGCUAGGGUUUCCUGGUGUGUACCGUUGUGCGCCUGCCAUCCUGUGGGUUUUAGGUGCUAUCCUUCACUGGGUGGUGCUUAUAUCUCACUCUUUUACUUUGAAAAAAUUAGAGUGUUCAAAGCAGGCUCGCGCUCUGAAUACAUUAGCAUGGAAUAAUAAUUUAGGACUUCUGUUCUAUUUUGUUGGUUUCUAGGAUGGAAGUAAUGAUUGAUAGGGAUAGUUGGGGGUGCUAGUAUUCAGCGGCCAGAGGUGAAAUUCUUGGAUUCGCUGAAGACUAACUUAUGCGAAAGCAUU